Molecule: long non-coding RNA, 1269 nt
Filed under: Patiria miniata (bat star)
Lineage: Eukaryota; Metazoa; Echinodermata; Asteroidea; Valvatida; Asterinidae
Description: uncharacterized LOC119733621
Source: RNAcentral
GGUAAGGAGGCUUCAUCAACAUGAUAAAUAUUUUUUUAAUUAUGAAAAUAUCAGCUUGCAAAAUCGUUUUAUGAAAGUUUGAAUUUUAGUAUGAUUUUGCACGAAAAUCGAACUUUUUUUCUGAUAUCUCAUCAAAUUUGGGUAUUUUUUAAAAACCGGAUUUUUUAGGGAAUUCUCACUUCUUUAAUGUAGUGAACGAGGGUGUAUACUUCAUUGUUUUCCUUACGGGAAAGCAGCUAAUAUUUUUUUUAAUCGUCAAAAUUCGUCCUUGAAUAUCGCAUUUUCGGCGACAUUUUGACUCAAAAACGCAUGUGACUCGCGGUGAACAUCAGGAAAUGUACACUGGGAAGUGGCUGAAUGAGUACGAAAUGCUGAAUCUUUCAGGAAAUAGAGGAUUUUGUGCUUCUAUUAUGUCUUGUGGGAGUCAAGAAACCUCGGAUCUGCCAUUAUAAACCACGUACAACGACAUGUCAUGGCUUGCUUGCAAACCGAUACUCGUGGGAAGAAAUUUGACACCGCACGGACCACGCGGUGAAGUCGCCAGGCAUCACGGGCACCGUGCAGUCUGCAACAGCGUGCCGGGAGUUGGAGCUCGCGCCCCCACAACACACAUCGCUUUUGACUGGUGGUUAUACCGUCGCUUUGGAGUCGAGUUUUGAGAGCUAUACGGCUGUAUGGAGAUGCUUUGAGUGUCGUCCGGGGACUGUCGUUCCUUCUGAUGAUGAUCAUGCAGACUUCUACAAGGAAUCUACAAUGCCUGAAUCUACAAGAUGACAUGAUGAAGGACACUAUGAAGAAAAGAACUAUGACCAGCCUUUAACAAAAUUAAUUCAAGAAUAACCCUUUUAUAUAAUUGAAAUAUAUUUUUAACUUGUUCCUAUUGUAAUCAUAAUAAAGACCUUUAUAAAAUAAAAUGUAAAUUUUAACAAACAUCUUGGGUCAAGCCUCUUCAAACGCUGGCAUUGGAGUUAAUUUAAAGAUUGUAGUAAGAGUUUAAUAUUAAAUUCCAGUGAUUUACUAAUAAACAAUUGAUUUGUUAAUUAUUUGCGAAUUCUGAGGGUAGGAGAUUCAUGAACUAUGCCCAAAAAGGCAAAAUACUCAAACAGGAGAGAGUUUGAAACUAAAAAUUGCAAUGGUGGACAAGGUUUGGCUUAAUGUAAAGAAGGGGAAAAUGGCAAAUUUUACUUUAAAAAUGGUAGCAAUUAAAAUAAAAAGCUUAUAAUCUAAUAAUUACUAUUUGUACUUCUCAAUUGGAAUGGAUUAUCUUGU